This is a long non-coding RNA of Pleuronectes platessa (European plaice), 864 nucleotides long. RefSeq lists it as uncharacterized. NCBI's taxonomy places the organism in Eukaryota, Metazoa, Chordata, Actinopteri, Pleuronectiformes, Pleuronectidae. The record is from RefSeq and is a predicted model, not a curated record. The transcript is spliced from 7 exons.
UGAGGGGUUUCUUCAUAUAGCUUCAGGACCCAGCGUUCUGUCACUUCUGCUCCUGAGACCUCGACGAGUUGAAACGAUGCAGUUCAUCAAGGUAUCUCCAGGGAUAACUGGCAUAAACGCCGCAAGACCGGCAGUAAACUCAAGCCCUACCACAAGAAGAGGAAGUAUGAGCUCGGGCGUCCUCCUGCAAACACAAAGAUCGGACCUCACUGCAUCCACACACUGGAAACUUCUCCUUGGGCUCUGAAUGCUGCACUCGCAAGACCAGGAUUAUCGAUGUGGUCUACAACGCCUCCAACAACGAGCUGGUCAGAACCAAGACCCUGGUGAAGAACUGCAUCGUCCUCGUUGACAGCCUUCCCUACAGGCAGUGGUAUGAGGCCCACUACACCACUCCUCUGGGACGCAAGAAGGGAGCCAAGCUGACCCCUGAGGAGGAAGAGGUCAACCAGGACUCAGAAGAAAUUGGACGAGGGUAAAAAGACGGCCAAGAUCAGCCCCCUCGUGGAGGAUCAGUUCCAGAAAGGAGAGCUUCUCAGAAAGUGAUAUCCAACAAUUUUGCAGAUGACGUAGUCCUCAUUGGAUCAUCGGCCUGUGACCGUCAGUACCCACUGGAUCGGCUGGCGGCCGAGUGUGAAGCGGCUGGGAUGAGGAUCAGCACUGCUAAAUAUGAGGCCAUGACUCUUAGCAGGAAACCGAUGGAUUGCUUACUCCGGCUUGCAUCACCUCCCGGCCAGUGUGGCAGAGCGGAUGGUUACCUCCUGGAAGGCAAAGAGCUUGAAUUCUACUUGAGGAAGAUCAAGGUCAAGAAAGGCAAAUGGAUGUACAGCUCUUUGAUUCGUGAAUAAAUUCUUUCUACAAAAC